RNAcentral lists this ribosomal RNA (492 nucleotides) under uncultured bacterium. RNAcentral describes it as "partial 16S ribosomal RNA". It matches the Rfam family "Bacterial small subunit ribosomal RNA", at positions 29 to 507 of the family's 1533-position model. The record is from RNAcentral.
AGUGAACGCUGGCGGUAGGCCUAACACAUGCAAGUCGAACGGCAGCACAGUAAGAGCUUGCUCUUACGGGUGGCGAGUGGCGGACGGGUGAGGAAUGCAUCGGAAUCUACUUUUUCGUGGGGGAUAACGUAGGGAAACUUACGCUAAUACCGCAUACGACCUACGGGUGAAAGCAGGGGAUCUUCGGACCUUGCGCGAUUGAAUGAGCCGAUGUCGGAUUAGCUAGUUGGCGGGGUAAAGGCCCACCAAGGCGACGAUCCGUAGCUGGUCUGAGAGGAUGAUCAGCCACACUGGAACUGAGACGCGGCCCAGACUCCUACGGGAGGCAGCAGUGGGGAAUAUUGGACAAUGGGCGCAAGCCUGAUCCAGCCAUACCGCGUGGGUGAAGAAGGCCUUCGGGUUGUAAAGCCCUUUUGUUGGGAAAGAAAAGCAGCAGGUUAAUACCCCGCUGUUCUGACGGUACCCAAAGAAUAAGCACCGGCUAACUUCGUG